This 500-nucleotide ribosomal RNA is filed under the name uncultured Glomus. RNAcentral describes it as "SSU rRNA". It matches the Rfam family "Eukaryotic small subunit ribosomal RNA", at positions 569 to 1076 of the family's 1831-position model. Lineage: Eukaryota; Fungi; Glomeromycota; Glomeromycetes; Glomerales; Glomeraceae. The record is from RNAcentral.
AGCAGCCGCGGUAAUUCCAGCUCCAAUAGCGUAUAUUAAAGUUGUUGCAGUUAAAAAGCUCGUAGUUGAAUUUCGGGAUUAAUAUGCUGGUCGUGCCAUUGGUACGUACUAGUAUUAUUGAUUUCUCCCUUCUGAUGAAUCAUGAUGUCAUUAAUUUGAUGUCAUGGGGAAUCAGGACUGUUACUUUGAAAAAUUAGAGUGUUUAAAGCAGGCUCGCGCUUGAAUACGUUAGCAUGGAAUAAUGAAAUAGGACGUUUGAUUCUAUUUUGUUGGUUUCUAGGAUUGACGUAAUGAUUAAUAGGGAUAGUUGGGGGCAUUAGUAUUCAAUUGUCAGAGGUGAAAUUCUUGGAUUUAUUGAAGACUAACUACUGCGAAAGCAUUUGCCAAGGAUGUUUUCAUUAAUCAAGAACGAAAGUUAGGGGAUCGAAGACGAUCAGAUACCGUCGUAGUCUUAACCAUAAACUAUGCCGACUAGGGAUCGGAUGAUGUUAAUUAUGACU